CAGCCGCCGCGGUAAUACGGAGGGUGCAAGCGUUAAUCGGAAUUACUGGGCGUAAAGCGCACGCAGGCGGUCUGUCAAGUCAGAUGUGAAAUCCCCGGGCUUAACCUGGGAACUGCAUUUGAAACUGGCAGGUUAGAGUCUUGUAGAGGGGGGUAGAAUUCCAGGUGUAGCGGUGAAAUGCGUAGAGAUCUGGAGGAAUACCGAUGGCGAAGGCAGCCAUCUGGCCUAAUACUGACGCUGAGGUACGAAAGCAUGGGGAGCAAACAGGAUUAGAUACCCCGGUAGUCCCUGUCUCUUAUAC
This 301-nucleotide ribosomal RNA is filed under the name uncultured bacterium. RNAcentral's name for it is "partial 16S ribosomal RNA". It matches the Rfam family "Bacterial small subunit ribosomal RNA", at positions 509 to 807 of the family's 1533-position model. The record is from RNAcentral.